Long non-coding RNA from Poecile atricapillus (Black-capped chickadee), 629 nucleotides. RefSeq lists it as uncharacterized. The transcript has 5 exons. Lineage: Eukaryota; Metazoa; Chordata; Aves; Passeriformes; Paridae. The record is from RefSeq and is a predicted model, not a curated record.
AGCUAACUGCAUCAAUGAAUGAGUGUUUCUUCAUGCAUCAUUUGUAGUCUGCAUUGUUGGAACAUUUGAGAGAGAAGUUCUUCUUGGUCCUUUGCUACAGACCAUAAUCCAAACUGAGAUUUUUUUCUCCUGAAAUGGUUACAACUCAACCUUUUGGAAAUGAAGAGCUGUUGCUUCAGCAGUGAGUUCUUCAUGUUGCCACGUGUGGAAACAGGCAAAGAAAUCAUUCUAAUAACCCUUUCCUGGCUCGUGGUGGUUUUGAAGGGAAGUAAAUAAUUUCCCAUUUAACAAUCUCAAUGAGAAUACCUGUGAAAGAGGAAAGGGCCUAAGGAUGGAAUCAGCCUGAAUAUGUAUUUUAAGAUGAUGCACACCAAAGAAAGAUGAAUGCUGCCUUUCAAACCUGGAGAUCUUCAUCUAUGAAAUGUUUUGAGAAUUAAUGUGUAAUCUUUUCAUCUGAAUAUCAUCUGCCAUAGUGAACAUCUGGAUUAUGUAGUCUUACCAUAACAUGCCCACAAGACCUCAGAAAAUUUUAGAAGGUUCCUGUUGCCUUUGCAAAUAUGGAGACAAGUUAAUAAGAUUUUUGCUUCUAAUUAUAAAUUAGUGUUUUUUCUUCUUAAAAGACUGGAGAA